RNAcentral lists this ribosomal RNA (526 nucleotides) under Globigerinella siphonifera. Its description in RNAcentral is "SSU rRNA". It matches the Rfam family "Eukaryotic small subunit ribosomal RNA", at positions 1193 to 1460 of the family's 1831-position model. The record is from RNAcentral. Lineage: Eukaryota; Foraminifera; Rotaliida; Globigerinidae.
AUUUGACUCAACGCGGGGAAUCUUACCGGGUCCGGACACACUGAGGAUUGACAGACAGUUGUCUUUCCCUCCCUUCGGGGUGGGAUUACAAAAGAUAACAGAUCUUUCAUGAUCAUGUGAUGGGUGGUGCAUGGCCGUUCUUAGUUCGUGGAGUGAUCUGUCUGCUUAAUUGCGUUUCAAAUUUUAUAUUUGUUAACAUGCGAGUCUUCAAUGACGGCCACUCCACCUUAUAGACAUUAUAUGAUAUGCACAUUUGUGUAUUUGAUUAUAACUUGUCUGGAGUCUGGCUCGAUUUUUUUGACUCAAUUGAACGCAACGGACGUGAUUGCAAGUCCUUGUUGAACAAAUUAUAUAUAUACUACUUCAUCAUUAGUAUAUAUAGUUCGCUUCUCAUGUCGUAGCAGUCAAACGGGCGGGCGUCUUAAUUGGCGCGGUCACGAGGCUUAAUAUGCUGCGGCUGGGAAAACUUGGGCGACCGCUGUAAUACUUCUCUCUUAAACCAGAGGAAGAUUGCGGCAAUAACAGG